UGGGGAAUUUUGCGCAAUGGGGGAAACCCUGACGCAGCAACGCCGCGUGAGUGAUGAAGGCUUUCGGGUCGUAAAGCUCUGUCAGUGGGGAAGAAAUGGGAUGUGCUAAUACCACAUCUUCUUGACGGUACCCACAAAGGAAGCACCGGCUAACUCCGUGCCAGCAGCCGCGGUAAUACGGGGGGUGCAAGCGUUGUUCGGAUUUAUUGGGCGUAAAGCGCGUGUAGGCGGUUUCUUAAGUCUGAUGUGAAAGCCCUGGGCUCAACCCAGGAAGUGCAUUGGAUACUGGGAGACUUGAAUACGGGAGAGGGUAGUGGAAUUCCUAGUGUAGGAGUGAAAUCCGUAGAUAUUAGGAGGAACACCGGUGGCGAAGGCGGCUACCUGGACCGAUAUUGACGCUGAGACGCGAAAGCGUGGGGAGCAAACA
RNAcentral lists this ribosomal RNA (427 nucleotides) under uncultured microorganism. Its description in RNAcentral is "bacterial SSU rRNA". It matches the Rfam family "Bacterial small subunit ribosomal RNA", at positions 355 to 774 of the family's 1533-position model. The record is from RNAcentral.